This 289-nucleotide long non-coding RNA is filed under the name Helianthus annuus (common sunflower). Its description in RNAcentral is "hypothetical non coding rna". Lineage: Eukaryota; Viridiplantae; Streptophyta; Magnoliopsida; Asterales; Asteraceae. The record is from RNAcentral.
UCGAGAGAAGGGCCAGGGAACUCUUUCCCUCUCAUAAACCCUAAGUCACUAAAAUUCCAUCAAUUAAAGGCGAAAUUAGCAAGGAAUCGGAUGCAUGAGCAAGGAAUUUUGAUGUACUAAGUGUUCUUAACCUCAAGUAAGUGAAAUUUCAUGAUUUGGAUAUGCGUCGUAUUAGCAAGGGAUCAAGCAUGGAAAGCUAACGGGUCAAGAGGAGACAAGGAAGGGAAUACGAAAACGGACGCUCAAGGUAAGUGAUUCCGUAAUCACUUCUUAGUUGUUUAUGUAAUGU